This is a non-coding RNA of Paramuricea clavata, 637 nucleotides long. NCBI's taxonomy places the organism in Eukaryota, Metazoa, Cnidaria, Anthozoa, Malacalcyonacea, Plexauridae. The record is from the annotation of a GenBank genome assembly.
UGUGUUGGUAUGACUUCAGACGUUAUUAGAACUUUCGAUACGAUAACAAACUUACAUAAAGUACUGACUGAGAUAAGAGGCGAGCCCGCGGUAAAUAGGACGACAACGUGUAAACAACGUUUUGGUUUUUGGUUUUAAUACACCACAGUGUUUUACCGCUCAAAAGGCUCAAUAAUUCGACGAUAUUUGUAAAGAAAUAAAAGUUUAUACAUUGUUUAAGUACAUUAUCGUUUUCUUUGAGUAAUUAUGUUUGCAUGCGCGUUGAAAUACGUGGGUAUAUAGCGAUACCAAUACAGUAAAACACUAGUGAUCGAAGAAAUCAAUCAGGACGGUGACGUUCGUGAGCUAUAAAGAAGCCGACUUUAAAGGAGUUUUGCCUGCCAAAUACUCGAAGUUGCUUGACGUAGUUAUCAUUGGGUCAUUGGUCGAUGCUAUGAACUAAAAUAUGAGUGUCCAAAACAAGAAACAAGAGAGAAGUAAGGCCAAAACGGCGGUUAGUUUGGCCUCGAGGCGACUUAUCGGUGCAGCCCACCGAGGAACAGAAUAUGAUGUGUUGAAGAGUUUAAUAAUCGAACUCGAAAAGGCGUACGAUGAUUUCUGUGUAGCAAAUGAAGAGUUUGAACUUCUCGUGUCAGAG